RNAcentral lists this ribosomal RNA (497 nucleotides) under uncultured bacterium. RNAcentral's name for it is "partial 16S ribosomal RNA". It matches the Rfam family "Bacterial small subunit ribosomal RNA", at positions 28 to 507 of the family's 1533-position model. The record is from RNAcentral.
GACGAACGCUGGCGGCGUGCCUAAUACAUGCAAGUUGAGCGAUGAAGAUUGGUGCUUGCACCAAUUUGAAGAGCAGCGAACGGGUGAGUAACGCGUGGGGAAUCUGCCUUUGAGCGGGGGACAACAUUUGGAAACGAAUGCUAAUACCGCAUAAUAACUUUAAACAUAAGUUUUAAGUUUGAAAGAUGCAAUUGCAUCACUCAAAGAUGAUCCCGCGUUGUAUUAGCUAGUUGGUGAGGUAAAGGCUCACCAAGGCGAUGAUACAUAGCCGACCUGAGAGGGUGAUCGGCCACAUUGGGACUGAGACACGGCCCAAACUCCUACGGGAGGCGGCAGUAGGGAAUCUUCGGCAAUGGACGAAAGUCUGACCGAGCAACGCCGCGUGAGUGAAGAAGGUUUUCGGAUCGUAAAAAUCUGUUGGUAGAGAAGAACGUUGGGGGGAGUGGAAAGCUCAUAAAGUGACGGUAACUACCCAGAAAGGGACGGCUAACUACGUG